RNAcentral lists this long non-coding RNA (565 nucleotides) under Triticum aestivum (bread wheat). Its description in RNAcentral is "long non-coding RNA (TAES_LNC014289)". Lineage: Eukaryota; Viridiplantae; Streptophyta; Magnoliopsida; Poales; Poaceae. The record is from RNAcentral.
GCAUACCAUAGUUAGCCAACAGUGUUUUCCUAAGAUUACCUACAGGGUCUUCCAUAUAUCUUGUCAAAUGCCUUACGGUAUUUAUCUAUUUCACAUUUCACACCCACGAUGAAACCAACAACAACACCUGCAAUAGUGAGCAGUGCUUGAAUCCUCUUCCUUUUUUCUUCAUUUAUGUUCUCCCUAUCAAAAGGAUGUGCAUAACACAUGACUAUUAGGAUCGUUUCAUUUGAGUACAAAUCAAAUACAGUAAGUUGUAGCGAUGAACAUCAUUUCAAAAAAAAAAGGUGUAGCGCCUCCAAUUAAUUACCUCUCAGCUUCAGCUUAAUUCUAGCUAUCUCAUCAUCAAUAAUACUAGCUAUGUUGCCAUCUAUCUCCACUCCCUCCUUCUCUAAUUUUGCCAACAAAUGGUCAACAUCCUUCUUCCUAGCAACAUCAGCUUUGGCUCCAUUGCUGGAUCCACCCUGGUAAGAUUAAUAAUUAGAUAAUUAUAAAUUUAUAAUUGAUAUAAUGAUACAAGAGUUAAAGCAGCUAUUCAUGCAUGUUAGUGGCUGUCAACGAGAGA